UACAGAGGUGGCAAGCGUUGGUCGGAAUUACUGGGCGUAAAGGGCGCGUAGGCGGCUUGGUCAGUCCCGUGUGAAAUCCCUCGGCUCAACUGAGGAACUGCACGGGAAACUGCCUGGCUUGAGUUCGGGAGAGGGAAGCGGAAUUCCGGGUGUAGCGGUGAAAUGCGUAGAUAUCUGGAGGAACACCGGUGGCGAAGGCGGCGUUCUGGACUGCAACUGACACUGAGGAACGAAAGCCAGGGGAGCAAACGGG
RNAcentral lists this ribosomal RNA (253 nucleotides) under uncultured bacterium. Its description in RNAcentral is "partial 16S ribosomal RNA". It matches the Rfam family "Bacterial small subunit ribosomal RNA", at positions 524 to 776 of the family's 1533-position model. The record is from RNAcentral.